UGAAUAACUGGGCCUUCAACCUUGCUCAUGUUAGGACGAGGUUCUCCUCUUGUUCCUAACAUGGCUGUGGGGGCGCAUAAGGGCCAUUGUAAGGGCCUCUCCCACCAUCUGAUCUCUAAAUAACCAGACCUUCGACCUUGCUCAUGUUAGGAUGAGAUUCUCUUCCUAUUCCUAACAUGGCUGUGGGGGCACAUAAGGGCCGUUGCAAGGGCCUCUCCCCCCAUCCAGUCUCUA
This 234-nucleotide long non-coding RNA is filed under the name Elaeis guineensis (African oil palm). RNAcentral describes it as "long non-coding RNA (EGUI_LNC059837)". Lineage: Eukaryota; Viridiplantae; Streptophyta; Magnoliopsida; Arecales; Arecaceae. The record is from RNAcentral.